RNAcentral lists this non-coding RNA (53 nucleotides) under Trypanosoma brucei brucei. The record is from RNAcentral. Lineage: Eukaryota; Euglenozoa; Kinetoplastea; Trypanosomatida; Trypanosomatidae.
AUAUAAAAACAAACAAAAGAAAAGAACAGAAAGUUAGAGAGAAAUAUAUAUAU